AUGCCGCAUGUCUGGCCUGGCCAGCGGCGGAAUCUGCAGCCUCUGCUAGUAGUGGUACAGACGACAGCCGAGAAAGUGGAACAACACACCGUCAGUCAGUCGGUCGUCGAUUCGGGACUCGCACUUGGCCAGGAAUCCCAAAUAAAUCAAUCAAGUCGCGUUACGCGAAAAAAAUAGAAUUCUGCGAUGGAUUGUGGAAUCGUGGCCAGCAGGACGAACCGCUCGGUUUAGCUUGCUCUGUGUUUUCUGACCCCCUCUUUCUACCUUAAUCUAUCUGCGAGUGUGUCCCCCUUGAAGAAUCUCCGCGACUUCGUCGCAGCCGUCGUCGUCGUCGCAGUCUGCACUGCACCAUAAUUUUAAUUGCAUCCUAAGUGCGUCCAGAUUUUUUUUUUCGGAUUAACAUGAUAAAACUUCGCGUCUCGACGCGUCAGCUGUACGCGUUCUUGGGCUAUUGCUUGCUGCUGGUGUAUCUGCUGUGGCCGGGUAGGUUCGCCAGCAAGUACGAGUACAUCGAGGGUGAGGACAUCUACGAUGCGCUCGUGCGGAAGACCACGAAGAACAUGAGUCUGCAGCGGAACGGGAUCCGGUGCGAUUACAGCGACGUGCUGGAGGAGAAUCUGUACCUGUACCGUCUUCCCUUCACCGAGGAGAUCAUCAACAACAACGUCCGGCUCGGUGGCGAGUGGUACCCGGAGGAUUGCCUGCCCAGCUUCAGCACCGCCAUCAUCAUCCCGUACCGGCAGCGGGAACGCCAGCUGAACCAGUUCCUAAUGUACAUGCACAACUACCUGCGCCGGCAGCGAAUCCACUACCGAAUCUUCGUCAUCGAACAGUACGACCCGAAGCCCUUCAACCGGGCCAAACUGUUCAACAUCGGAGCCCUCAUCGCCAUGAAGCUCGACUUCCCCUGUCUCGUCCUGCACGACGUUGACCUCAUGCCCCAAAAUCUCGGCCAUCUCUACGCCUGCUCGCAGCAACCUCGUCACAUGUGCUCCAGCCUGGACGAGUUCCGGUACAACCUCCCGUACAAAGGCCUGUUCGGCGGCGUCGUAGCCAUCCAGUCGCACCAGUUCAUGAAGGUGAACGGGAUGUCCAACAUGUUCAACGGGUGGGGCGGCGAAGACGACGACUUUUACGCCCGGCUCGAGAACAAACAGAUCCAGAUUUGUCGCUUUGCGCCCGAGUACAGCCGGUACACGAUGCUGAAGCACCGCAAGGAGAAGCCCAACAAGGACCGGGUGGCGUUUCUGAGGAAUGGACACCUGAGGUAUCACACCGACGGGUUGAACUCGCUGGUGUACAAGGAGGUGGGACUGAAGUUGCACAAUUUGUUCACGCACGUGCUGGUGGAGACGUAAGAGGGAAGAAGAGUUGAUUUGAAUUCGUCAUUGUUAUCUAGUCCGUCGAGAUAAGAUAAGGUCGCUCCGAUAAGAUAACGGACAAAAGCAUAACGCCAUGCGAUUAAACAUGAAUAGUGCGAGUACUUUGCGAACAACUCCGACGACAGCGACAGUUUUGUCAGCUGAUCAUCCCGUUUGAUUUAUCGCACUCGCUAUCGAGCGACACUUUUUACGUUCUUCCACGCGUUUGAUGCACCCAAUUGAGUGGUGUUGAUAAGAUAAGAGGCCAAGGCAGGUACUUUUUUCGAUUAGCCACUAGACGAGACAGCAAUUGGUGUAUUUAUUUUGAGCCCUCGAUUGAUUGGAAAAAAGGAAUGCGAGUGUGUAUUUGUUUCAGUGUGUGUGUGCAACUUGUCAAUUCAGCGCCCUCGAGAGAAUUGGUUUAAUUUGCGAAUUGGUUUGUUUGUGGGAGGAAUGUUGUUGGGGAACAAUAAUUUGAUUGAUUGUGGUAGGGGAAAAGAAAGAUGGGAUACAAAAGGAACAAAGCAGAAAACUCACAUUGCCUUAUGCGGCUCCAUAUAAUUAGGCAGCAGCGUAAUUUGUUUAAUUUAUUGAAUUUUGAAUAAAAACGGUAGUAUUUUACGUGUUAGCAUGUUUAGCGUGUAAGUGAAGACGAUAUUACACUGUAGGAAAAAUGUGUGUGUAGUCUGCGUUAGUUGUGGACGAAUCCUGCAAACGUUUUAUUCGUUGUUUGAUAAAAAAAAAAUACAAGAUAAAAACAAAUCUUACAUGCAUCGGUUAAAUUAUUAGCAGUUAUUUUAGUAUUUAAGCAAAUACCAAAACUAGUACGUAAGUAGGAUUUUCAAAUUUGCAGUUAUAGUGAUAAGUAAAACUACAAAAUCGGAACGAAUAUCACACACGUGGGUAAGGAAUUCUAACACAAGUAAUAAACUCUUAUUCGCUUCUUGCAAAGUAUUAAACUUUAAACAAAACAACCAACCUACACUAGAACGAGCAAAGUCAUUAGAACUGUACUGUUUUUUAGUAUACAUAACUCACUGCGAGAACAAUAACUUUAAACCAAAACUUUUACACACUGCAAAUCAAACUUAAAACAAAAAAGAAACUAAACUUUAACACAACACAACACAAGUCCCCCCCACUAAAAAUGUUAAUUACUGCAGUAAAUGUACUUUCUAAUCUCUUGCAAGCAUUCAAAUUUUCCCAAGGUAAAACGUGAUAGACAUUUUAGCAAAUAAAAAUAAAAUAAAAACUUAAAAGCAACUGUGAAACAAAUUCGCACAGUUUUUUUUAGGGAGCAGCGCAUGUUCAACAAAAAAAUACA
Culex pipiens pallens (northern house mosquito) is the source of this 2685-nucleotide RNA transcript. It is a transcript of the gene named beta-1,4-galactosyltransferase 2, with no coding region annotated. The transcript is spliced from 3 exons. NCBI's taxonomy places the organism in Eukaryota, Metazoa, Arthropoda, Insecta, Diptera, Culicidae. The record is from RefSeq and is a predicted model, not a curated record.